GACGAACCGUGCGAACGUUAUCCGGAAUUAUUGGGCGUAAAGAGCUCGUAGGCGGUUUGUCACGUCUGCUGUGAAAACUGGAGGCUCAACCUCCAGCCUGCAGUGGGUACGGGCAGACUAGAGUGCGGUAGGGGAGAUUGGAAUUCCUGGUGUAGCGGUGGAAUGCGCAGAUAUCAGGAGGAACACCGAUGGCGAAGGCAGAUCUCUGGGCCGUAACUGACGCUGAGGAGCGAAAGCAUGGGGAGCGAACAGG
This 253-nucleotide ribosomal RNA is filed under the name uncultured bacterium. RNAcentral describes it as "partial 16S ribosomal RNA". It matches the Rfam family "Bacterial small subunit ribosomal RNA", at positions 524 to 776 of the family's 1533-position model. The record is from RNAcentral.